This 468-nucleotide ribosomal RNA is filed under the name uncultured bacterium. RNAcentral's name for it is "partial 16S ribosomal RNA". It matches the Rfam family "Bacterial small subunit ribosomal RNA", at positions 28 to 507 of the family's 1533-position model. The record is from RNAcentral.
GACGAACGCUGGCGGCGUGCUUAACACAUGCAAGUCGAACGGAAAGGCCCUGCUUUUGUGGGGUGCUCGCGUGGCGAACGGGUGAGUAACACGUGAGUAACCUGCCCUUUACUUUGGGAUAACUUCAGGAAACUGGGGCUAAUACCUGCUAGGAGCUCCUGCUGCAUGGUGGUGUUUGGACAGUUUCGGCGGUAGGGGAUGGACUCGCGGCUUAUCAGCUUGUUGGUGGGGUAGUGGCUUACCCAGGCUUUGACGGGUAGCCGGCCUGAGAGGGUGAACGGCGACAAUAGGACUGAGGUACGGAGCAGACGCGUACGGGAGGCAGCAGUGGGGAAUAUUGCACAAUGGGCGGAAGCGUGAUGAAGAAACGCCGCGAGCGGGAUGAAGGCUUACGGGUUGGAAACCGCUGUAGGCUGUGACGAAGCGGGAGUGACGGUAAUGGGUAAAGAAGCACCGGCUAACUACGUG